AACGAACGCUGGCGGCAGGCCUAACACAUGCAAGUCGAACGAGAAGCCACCUUCGGGUGGUGGAAAGUGGCAGACGGGUGAGUAACGCGUGGGAACGUGCCUUUCGGUUCGGGAUAACCCAGGGAAACUUGGGCUAAUACCGGAUACGCCCUCCGGGGGAAAGAUUCAUUGCCGAAAGAUCGGCCCGCGUCGGAUUAGCUAGUUGGUGGGGUAAUAGCCUACCAAGGCGACGAUCCGUAGCUGGUCUGAGAGGAUGACCAGCCACACUGGGACUGAGACACGGCCCAGACUCCUACGGGAGGCAGCAGUGGGGAACAUUGGACAAUGGGCGAAAGCCUGAUCCAGCCAUGCCGCGUGGGUGAAGAGGCCUUAGGGUUGUAAAUCCCUUUCAGCGGGGACGAUAAUGACGGUACCCGCAGAAGAAGUCCCGGCUAACUCCGUGCCAGCCGCCGCAGUAA
This 458-nucleotide ribosomal RNA is filed under the name uncultured bacterium. RNAcentral's name for it is "partial 16S ribosomal RNA". It matches the Rfam family "Bacterial small subunit ribosomal RNA", at positions 29 to 523 of the family's 1533-position model. The record is from RNAcentral.